GCUUACGGCCACACAGGCCUGAGUACGCCUGCUCUCGUGCCGAUCUCGGAAGCUAAGCAGGGUCGGGCUCCUGCGGUUAGUACUUGGAUGGGAGACCGCCUGGGAAUACCAGGUGCUGUAAGCU
This 124-nucleotide ribosomal RNA is filed under the name Oncorhynchus mykiss (rainbow trout). The record is from RNAcentral. Lineage: Eukaryota; Metazoa; Chordata; Actinopteri; Salmoniformes; Salmonidae.